AUUGAACGCUGGCGGCAGGCCUAACACAUGCAAGUCGAGCGGAUGAAGGGAGCUUGCUCCUGGAUUCAGCGGGGGACGGGUGAGUAAUGCCUAGGAAUCUGCCUGGUAGUGGGGGAUAACGUCCGGAAGCGGGCGCUAAUACCGCAUACGUCCUGAGGGAGAAAGGGGGGGAGCUUCGGACCUUCCGCUAUCGGGUGAGCCUAGGUCGGGUUAGCUAGUUGGUGGGGUAAAGGCCUACCAAGGCGACGAUCCGUAACUGGUCUGAGAGGAUGAUCAGUCACACUGGAACUGAGACACGGUCCAGACUCCUACGGGAGGCAGCAGUGGGGAAUAUUGGACAAUGGGCGAAAGCCUGAUCCAGCCAUGCCGCGUGUGUGAAGAAGGUCUUCGGAUUGUAAAGCACUUUAAGUUGGGAGGAAGGGCAGUAAGUUAAUACCUUGCUGUUUUGACGUUACCAAAAGAAUAAGCACCGGCUAACUUCGUG
Molecule: ribosomal RNA, 484 nt
Filed under: uncultured bacterium
Lineage: Bacteria
Description: partial 16S ribosomal RNA
Rfam family: Bacterial small subunit ribosomal RNA
Source: RNAcentral